Molecule: ribosomal RNA, 444 nt
Filed under: uncultured bacterium
Lineage: Bacteria
Description: partial 16S ribosomal RNA
Rfam family: Bacterial small subunit ribosomal RNA
Source: RNAcentral
CUACGGGGGGCUGCAGUGGGGAAUAUUGCACAAUGGGCGAAAGCCUGAUGCAGCAACGCCGCGUGAGGGACGACGGCCUUCGGGUUGUAAACCUCUUUUAGCAGGGAAGAAGCGAAAGUGACGGUACCUGCAGAAAAAGCACCGGCUAACUACGUGCCAGCAGCCGCGGUAAUACGUAGGGUGCAAGCGUUGUCCGGAAUUAUUGGGCGUAAAGAGCUCGUAGGCGGUUUGUCGCGUCUGCUGUGAAAAUCCGAGGCUCAACCUCGGACCUGCAGUGGGUACGGGCAAACUAGAGUGCGGUAGGGGAGAUUGGAAUUCCUGGUGUAGCGGUGGAAUGCGCAGAUAUCAGGAGGAACACCAAUGGCGAAGGCAGAUCUCUGGGCCGUAACUGACGCUGAGGAGCGAAAGCGUGGGGAGCGAACAGGAUUAGAUACCCGGGUAGUC